This 881-nucleotide long non-coding RNA is filed under the name Prunus persica (peach). RNAcentral's name for it is "long non-coding RNA (PPER_LNC005171)". Lineage: Eukaryota; Viridiplantae; Streptophyta; Magnoliopsida; Rosales; Rosaceae. The record is from RNAcentral.
GAGUAGAACCAAUCAACUCCCAAACCAUUAGGGAGCCAAGAGCUAAUCAAAUCAAACUAUGUUGAGAGCCAAUAAGCUCAUCAAUCAAAGUGUAAGGGCCAAUUAGCCUAUAAGGGCCAAAUAGCCAGCAAAGAGAGUAAGAAUAGGCCAAAUAGCCAGCAAAGAGAGAGAGAAUAAUAGGCCAAUAAGCCAAAAGGCCAAUAAGCCUAGCAAAUAGUUUCUUUCUAGUUGUUGAAGGCCAAUAAACCUACUCCUCUAUAAAGCCUUGUACCCAUCUAUUGUUGAAUAAAUAAAAUCACUCUUUUGUUCUCUAAAACCCAACAAGUGGUAUCAGAGCAUCACAUACGCUCAUCACACACCUACUACAAUCUAACAGUGGUAUCAGAGUUGGUUCGAUUGCAUUGGGCGUCAGAGCUGGUUCGAGAGCUAGUUCAACUCGAGAGUCGCAUUCGAUCAACUAUGGGCGCAUGGGCCGACUCAAAAGCAAGGUACGUGCUAUCAAUACUCAAUUCAAAGUUUCAAGAAAUCUAGAAGGGGAACGAAAUCUAAAGAAAGUUCUAGAGGAGAAGAUAGUGAAAAUAAAAGAGAUGGCAUGAGAGGAAAAAACUUUCCUCCAUGUGGAGUGUGCAAAAAGUUAAGGCACCCAAAAAAAAGAAAAAGAAGCUCUUUAAUCAAAGUGUAAGGGCCAAAUAGCCCAAACUAAGCAAAGUGUAAGGGCCAAAUAGCCCAAACUAUUCUAAAUCAAGUGUGGUGGUCAAUAAGUCAAUAUGCUAAGUGUAGAAGGCCAAUUAGCUUACACCGAGCCAUGUACUAUUCUUAUCCAAAUAUAAUAAAAUCACUUUGUUUUUUCCCUUCAACUCUAACAUAUUCCUUAUAAAGCG